ACUCCUACGGGAGGCAGCAGUGGGAAUAUUGCACAAUGGGGAAGGCCAUCGAUGCAGCAACGACCGCGUGGGAGGAUGACACAUUUCGGUGCGUAAACUCCUUUUAUAUAGGAAGAUAAUGACGGUACUAUAUGAAUAAGCGCCGGCUAACUCCGUGCCAGCAGCCGCGGUAAUACGGAGGGCGCAAGCGUUACUCGGAAUCACUGGGCGUAAAGAGCGUGUAGGCGGAUAGAUAAGUCAGGAGUGAAAUCCUAUGGCUCAACCAUAGAACUGCUCUUGAAACUGUCAAUCUAGAGUAUGGGAGAGGUAGAUGGAAUUUCUGGUGUAGGGGUAAAAGUCCGUAGAGAUCAGAAGGAAUACCGAUUGCGAAGGCGAUCUACUGGAACAUAACUGACGCUGAGACGCGAAAGCGUGGGAGCAAACAGGAUUAGAUACCCUGGUAGGCUCUG
This 449-nucleotide ribosomal RNA is filed under the name uncultured bacterium. RNAcentral describes it as "bacterial SSU rRNA". It matches the Rfam family "Bacterial small subunit ribosomal RNA", at positions 335 to 799 of the family's 1533-position model. The record is from RNAcentral.